CCAAGUCGCCAAGCCUCAGCUGAGUUUAACUGCAGACUCUCAAGAGGAGCAAACCCGCAAGGCAGACUCUGACACCAGAGCAGCUGCCUGUGAGAGAUUUGAAUCAACUCAGCCCCACCCCUCCACCCCUCCAACAGCCACUUUCCAACCUGUUGAGCUGCCUGCAGGCUCUGUGUGGUGUGCUCCAGGUCCUCAGCUUUGUGAGCUGUCACCCACACUGGGGUGGCCUUUGGUGAUACAGCUGUCUUUGAGUCAUUUCUGCUCCUGUUAACCAGAUAUAGGACUCCUCUGUCUUGCUACGAUGGACAGCCACAAGGAUUCACUUGAAUAAAAGAAGCAACAGUGGGUGCCAGGCUGUUUGAAAUGUGCUGUUUUGUUAUACAUUUAUUACAAAGAAUCUCACAAAAAGAAAAUAUUUCAAAAAGAAUGCCAGGCUAAAGAACCUCCACCUGGAGAACUGGGGGAAGGCAGGGCAAUGUAAGUUCUUCUGCCUGCCCAAGACCUGUGGAAGAUAUAAACAGAACCAGUCUAAAAAUGGCUGAUAUUACCCAAGCCUGAAAAGGGCUCACAGAACACCAAGUCACCCCUGCUAGAAAGCUUAAUCAGGGCAUCUUAACAGAGCUCCUAAGCAGGCUUGGCAGUUCAGGAUUUUGUCUUCUGGUUGUUUUCUUUUCCACUUAGAAUAUCAACGUCAACAUACAGCACCCUCUGGCCAUACUUUAGCAGUUCCAGGAUGGCC
This 739-nucleotide long non-coding RNA is filed under the name Mus musculus (house mouse). Its description in RNAcentral is "RIKEN cDNA E330011O21 gene". The record is from RNAcentral. Lineage: Eukaryota; Metazoa; Chordata; Mammalia; Rodentia; Muridae.